GCGUGCGUGAAGAAGGCCUUAGGGUUGUAAAGCGCUUUCGGCGGGGAAGAUGAUGACGGUACCCGCAGAAGAAGCCCCGGCUAACUCCGUGCCAGCAGCCGCGGUAAUACGGAGGGGGCUAGCGUUGUUCGGAAUUACUGGGCGUAAAGGGCGCGUAGGCGGGCAUUCAAGUCAGGGGUGAAAGGCCUGGGCUCAACCCGGGAACUGCCUUUGAAACUGAGUGUCUAGAGGCCGAGAGAGGUUAGCGGAAUUCCCAGUGUAGAGGUGAAAUUCGU
RNAcentral lists this ribosomal RNA (275 nucleotides) under uncultured bacterium. Its description in RNAcentral is "partial 16S ribosomal RNA". It matches the Rfam family "Bacterial small subunit ribosomal RNA", at positions 399 to 691 of the family's 1533-position model. The record is from RNAcentral.